This 1081-nucleotide ribosomal RNA is filed under the name Clostridium botulinum. Its description in RNAcentral is "bacterial SSU rRNA". It matches the Rfam family "Bacterial small subunit ribosomal RNA", at positions 86 to 1188 of the family's 1533-position model. The record is from RNAcentral. Lineage: Bacteria; Bacillati; Bacillota; Clostridia; Eubacteriales; Clostridiaceae.
AGUGGAUUAGCGGCGGACGGGUGAGUAACACGUGGGUAACCUGCCUCAAAGUGGGGGAUAGCCUUCCGAAAGGAAGAUUAAUACCGCAUAAUAUAAGAGAAUCGCAUGAUUUUUUUAUCAAAGAUUUAUUGCUUUGAGAUGGACCCGCGGCGCAUUAGCUAGUUGGUAAGGUAACGGCUUACCAAGGCAACGAUGCGUAGCCGACCUGAGAGGGUGAUCGGCCACAUUGGAACUGAGACACGGUCCAGACUCCUACGGGAGGCAGCAGUGGGGAAUAUUGCGCAAUGGGGGAAACCCUGACGCAGCAACGCCGCGUGGGUGAUGAAGGUCUUCGGAUUGUAAAGCCCUGUUUUCUAGGACGAUAAUGACGGUACUAGAGGAGGAAGCCACGGCUAACUACGUGCCAGCAGCCGCGGUAAUACGUAGGUGGCGAGCGUUGUCCGGAUUUACUGGGCGUAAAGGGUGCGUAGGCGGAUGUUUAAGUGGGAUGUGAAAUCCCCGGGCUUAACCUGGGGGCUGCAUUCCAAACUGGAUAUCUAGAGUGCAGGAGAGGAAAGCGGAAUUCCUAGUGUAGCGGUGAAAUGCGUAGAGAUUAGGAAGAACACCAGUGGCGAAGGCGGCUUUCUGGACUGUAACUGACGCUGAGGCACGAAAGCGUGGGUAGCAAACAGGAUUAGAUACCCUGGUAGUCCACGCCGUAAACGAUGGAUACUAGGUGUAGGGGGUAUCAACUCCCCCUGUGCCGCAGUUAACACAAUAAGUAUCCCGCCUGGGGAGUACGGUCGCAAGAUUAAAACUCAAAGGAAUUGACGGGGGCCCGCACAAGCAGCGGAGCAUGUGGUUUAAUUCGAAGCAACGCGAAGAACCUUACCUGGACUUGACAUCCCUUGCAUAGCCUAGAGAUAGGUGAAGCCCUUCGGGGCAAGGAGACAGGUGGUGCAUGGUUGUCGUCAGCUCGUGUCGUGAGAUGUUAGGUUAAGUCCUGCAACGAGCGCAACCCUUGUUAUUAGUUGCUACCAUUAAGUUGAGCACUCUAAUGAGACUGCCUGGGUAACCAGGAGGAAGGUGGGGAUGACGUCAA